This 75-nucleotide transfer RNA is filed under the name Stenotrophomonas maltophilia. RNAcentral describes it as "tRNA-Arg". The record is from RNAcentral. Lineage: Bacteria; Pseudomonadati; Pseudomonadota; Gammaproteobacteria; Lysobacterales; Lysobacteraceae.
AGCAUUGGAGAAUAUAGCUGGGUCGUCCCCCUCCUAAGGGGAAGGUCGCCCGUUCGAAUCGGGCCGGGGUCACCA